GGCUCAGAACGAACGCUGGCGGCGUGCUUAACACAUGCAAGUCGAACGCGAAAGGGACUUCGGUCCUGAGUAAAGUGGCGCACGGGUGAGUAACGCGUAGAUAACCUGUCUUCAUGUCUGGAAUAAUACGCCGAAAGGGGUACUAAUACCGGAUAUUCUUGCUUUUCAUAAGUUAUGCAAGCAAAGGUGGCCUCUGCAUAUGCUACUGCAUGAAGAGGGGUCUGCGUACCAUUAGCUAGUAGGUGGGGUAAUGGCCUACCUAGGCGACGAUGGUUAGCGGGUCUGAGAGGAUGAUCCGCCACACUGGCACUGGAACACGGGCCAGACUCCUACGGGAGGCAGCAGUGAGGAAUAUUGCGCAAUGGGGGAAACCCUGACGCAGCGACGCCGCGUGAAGUGAGGAAGGCCUUCGGGUCGUAAAGCUCUGUCAAGAGGAAAGAAGUGUACAAUGGCUAAUACCUGUUGUAUUUGACGGUACCUCUAAAGGAAGCACCGGCUAACUCCGUGCCAGCCGCGGC
RNAcentral lists this ribosomal RNA (518 nucleotides) under uncultured bacterium. RNAcentral's name for it is "bacterial SSU rRNA". It matches the Rfam family "Bacterial small subunit ribosomal RNA", at positions 21 to 518 of the family's 1533-position model. The record is from RNAcentral.